This 570-nucleotide ribosomal RNA is filed under the name Pantoea agglomerans. RNAcentral describes it as "bacterial SSU rRNA". It matches the Rfam family "Bacterial small subunit ribosomal RNA", at positions 38 to 602 of the family's 1533-position model. Lineage: Bacteria; Pseudomonadati; Pseudomonadota; Gammaproteobacteria; Enterobacterales; Erwiniaceae. The record is from RNAcentral.
GGACGGCGGCUACAAUGCAGUCGAGCGGUAGCACAAAAGAGCUUGCUCUCUUGAGACUAGUGGCGGACGGGUGAGUAAUGUCUGGGAAACUGCCUGAUGGAGGGGGAUAACUACUGGAAACGGUAGCUUAUACCGCAUAACGCCAUUAUACCUCAUAGGGGGACCUUCGGGCCUCUUGCCAUCUGAUGUGCCCAGAUGGGAUUAGCUAGUAUUAGGUAUAACGGCUCACCUAGGCGACGAUCCCUAGCUGUGCUGAGAGGAUGACCAGACACACUGGAACUGACACACGACUGAGACUCCUACGGGACUCCUACGUGAGGAAUAUUGCACAAUGCUUCCAAGCCUGAUGCAGCCAUGCCGCGUGUAUGAAGAAGGCCUUCGGGUUGUAAAGUACUUUCAGCGUCUAGGAAGGUGUUGUGGCUAAUAACCGCAGCACUGGAUGUUACCCGACGAAGACUUAUUAGAUAACUCCGUGUCACUACGCGCCAGAAUACGGAGGAAGACAGAGUUAAUCGGAAUUACUGGGAAUUAUUGGCACGUAAAGCGCGCUGUCAAGUCCCUUUAAAAUCC